GAUGAAGAACGGCAGCGAAAUGCGAUAAUUAAUGUGAAUUGCAGAAUUCCGUGAAUCAUCGAGUCUUUGAACGCACAUUGCGCCUCAUGGCAUUCCGUGAGGCAUGCCCAUCUCAGCGUUAGAAAAUAUUCUCAAAUUUUAGUUUUGUGCUAAAAUUUGGAUCAUGUCAAGGAAGCUAUUACUAUUAUUGUGAUCGCUCUUUGGAAAUUGAUAGGUCUUUGAGUUGCUACUCAUAGAACGUGAUGAAUCUUUCUUCGUUCUAUUGUAAUUCACUCUGGUAGUCCUAAAACUUGUAUGCCUGUGGCAUAUCUUGUAAUUUGACCUGAGAUUGGGUAGGGAUACCCGCUGAACUUAAGCAUAUCAAUAAGCGGAGA
This 374-nucleotide unclassified non-coding RNA is filed under the name soil metagenome. RNAcentral's name for it is "partial contains internal transcribed spacer 2 and large subunit ribosomal RNA". The stretch from base 1 to 121 matches the Rfam family "5.8S ribosomal RNA", at positions 35 to 154 of the family's 154-position model. The record is from RNAcentral.